AGUGAACGCUGGCGGUAGGCCUAACACAUGCAAGUCGAACGGCAGCACAGUAAGAGCUUGCUCUUACGGGUGGCGAGUGGCGGACGGGUGAGGAAUACAUCGGAAUCUACUUUUUCGUGGGGGAUAACGUAGGGAAACUUACGCUAAUACCGCAUACGACCUACGGGUGAAAGCAGGGGAUCUUCGGACCUUGCGCGAGUGAAUGAGCCGAUGUCGGAUUAGCUAGUUGGCGGGGUAAAGGCCCACCAAGGCGACGAUCCGUAGCCGGUCUGAGAGGAUGAUCAGCCACACUGGAACUGAGACACGGUCCAGACUCCUACGGGAGGCAGCAGUGGGGAAUAUUGGACAAUGGGCGCAAGCCUGAUCCAGCCAUACCGCGUGGGUGAAGAAGGCCUUCGGGUUGUAAAGCCCUUUUGUUGGGAAAGAAAAGCAGCAGGUUAAUACCCCGCUGUUCUGACGGUACCCAAAGAAUAAGCACCGGCUAACUUCGUG
This 492-nucleotide ribosomal RNA is filed under the name uncultured bacterium. RNAcentral describes it as "partial 16S ribosomal RNA". It matches the Rfam family "Bacterial small subunit ribosomal RNA", at positions 29 to 507 of the family's 1533-position model. The record is from RNAcentral.